Suricata suricatta (meerkat) is the source of this 665-nucleotide long non-coding RNA. RefSeq lists it as uncharacterized. The record is from RefSeq and is a predicted model, not a curated record. Lineage: Eukaryota; Metazoa; Chordata; Mammalia; Carnivora; Herpestidae. The transcript has 4 exons.
UGGGAGCAGGGACCUUGCUGUCAGGCUUGCAUCCCCUGGAUUGGAGAUUCACUGGGCGCCCCCAGGAGCUCCCAUUUGCCCUGGGCUGCGGCUUCUGCAGGGCACCCACCUCUGCACUGCUCACGAAGCCCUCUGUGCCCGCGGGACACGAACGCGGGGGUCUCACUUAACCCUCGAAACAACUGAUCCCAACAACAGGAGAAUGGAACUUCUUUGAGGACAGGGAAGUUCCUUGAGAGAAAUAUUGCUCGCUGCUGUCUCUGAAGUAUCUCCCUCGUGCCUGGCACAGAGAAACUGAGGCAGGAGAGAGGAUGAAUUGACUUGCCUAAGGUAACCCCGCUGGUAAGGAAACCUACGUUUGGAGGAAGAGCUCCGCUAGGCAGCCAGGUGUGAGGCAGUGUGCACUCCCGUGUGAGAGCGAGAUGCCCGGUGGAGAGCCUUAAGUAAACCUGGAGAGAGCCUGGCCUGAAGCCCGAGAAAACCAACUGCUGGGAGGGCAACAUUACCUGUGUUUGAAGACGGAAAACAAAAGGCCCUAAGCCCGGGUCAAGAAGGCAGCCUCCUCAGAAAGAAAUUGGUCUCUUAGGGACUGUGGGAGCCCCUGUGAAAUCUGAAGGGCAACUGGUGCCCCGGACUGGCCAAUUCUUGCCACCAGGGAAUGUGGG